AGAGUUUGAUCCUGGCUCAGGAUGAACGCUAGCUACAGGCUUAACACACGCAAGUCGAGGGGCAGCAUGGUCUUAGCUUGCUAAGGCCGAUGGCGACCGGCGCACGGGUGAGUAACACGUAUCCAACCUGCCGUCUACUCUUGGACAGCCUUCUGAAAGGAAGAUUAAUACAAGAUGGCAUCAUGAGUCCGCAUGUUCACAUGAUUAAAGGUAUUCCGGUAGACGAUGGGGAUGCGUUCCAUUAGAUAGUAGGCGGGGUAACGGCCCACCUAGUCUUCGAUGGAUAGGGGUUCUGAGAGGAAGGUCCCCCACAUUGGAACUGGGACACGGUCCAAACUCCUACGGGAGGCAGCAGUGAGGAAUAUUGGUCAAUGGGCGAGAGCCUGAACCAGCCAAGUAGCGUGAAGGAUGACUGCCCUAUGGGUUGUAAACUUCUUUUAUAAAGGAAUAAAGUCGGGUAUGCAUACCCGUUUGCAUGUACUUUAUGAAUAAGGAUCGGCUAACUCCGUGCCAGCAGCCGCGGUAAUACGGAGGAUCCGAGCGUUAUCCGGAUUUAUUGGGUUUAAAGGGAGCGUAGAUGGAUGUUUAAGUCAGUUGUGAAAGUUUGCGGCUCAACCGUAAAAUUGCAGUUGAUACUGGAUAUCUUGAGUGCAGUUGAGGCAGGCGGAAUUCGUGGUGUAGCGGUGAAAUGCUUAGAUAUCACGAAGAACUCCGAUUGCGAAGGCAGCCUGCUAAGCUGCAACUGACAUUGAGGCUCGAAAGUGUGGGUAUCAAACAGGAUUAGAUACCCUGGUAGUCCACACGGUAAACGAUGAAUACUCGCUGUUUGCGAUAUACAGCAAGCGGCCAAGCGAAAGCGUUAAGUAUUCCACCUGGGGAGUACGCCGGCAACGGUGAAACUCAAAGGAAUUGACGGGGGCCCGCACAAGCGGAGGAACAUGUGGUUUAAUUCGAUGAUACGCGAGGAACCUUACCCGGGCUUAAAUUGCAGAUGAAUUACGGUGAAAGCCGUAAGCCGCAAGGCAUCUGUGAAGGUGCUGCAUGGUUGUCGUCAGCUCGUGCCGUGAGGUGUCGGCUUAAGUGCCAUAACGAGCGCAACCCUUGUUGUCAGUUACUAACAGGUUCCGCUGAGGACUCUGACAAGACUGCCAUCGUAAGAUGUGAGGAAGGUGGGGAUGACGUCAAAUCAGCACGGCCCUUACGUCCGGGGCUACACACGUGCUACAAUGGGGGGUACAGAGGGCCGCUACCACGCGAGUGGAUGCCAAUCCCAAAAACCUCUCUCAGUUCGGACUGGAGUCUGCAACCCGACUCCACGAAGCUGGAUUCGCUAGUAAUCGCCCAUCAGCCACGGCGCGGUGAAUACGUUCCCGGGCCUUGUACACACCGCCCGUCAAGCCAUGGGAGCCGGGGGUACCUGAAGUGCGUAACCGCGAGGAGCGCCCUAGGGUAAAACUGGUGACUGGGGCUAAGUCGUAACAAGGUA
Molecule: ribosomal RNA, 1486 nt
Filed under: metagenome
Description: bacterial SSU rRNA
Rfam family: Bacterial small subunit ribosomal RNA
Source: RNAcentral